GAGAGGAUGCGAGGGAUUGGGUGAGAAUGACAAAGAUGUGAAUUCAUCAGUGAACAUGGAAAAAACAGUAGUUGAAACAUUAAUUCUCAAUUUCUGUAACAGCAGAUUGAUAGAUGAAGCAUAAAACAAGACCAGAUGCUGUGGUUUCCAGGAUGCACUUGGCUUCCCAUGCUUUAUAACCUGGAGCAUUUAUUGCUCAUGGUAAAAUACCAGAAAUGAGAGUAGUGCCGAAUAAACGUAAUUGAGUAGAAGGAAGAUAAAGGAGCUACGGAACCCUGCUUCGCUCACUUGAUAAAGGCUUGUCAUUGGCAGGUAAUAGUUUUAAAUAAAUUCAUAUAUGAAAAAAACAGAACACUAGUCAUUCUUGACCAUCAACAAUGAAGGACAAGUCCUCAUAAUUGGAGUGGAACGAGACUGGAACUAAGUUACUGUCUCAAGUAAGCCGAAGACUCUAGAAGCGAGCUUUGGUA
This 470-nucleotide long non-coding RNA is filed under the name Zalophus californianus (California sea lion). Its description in RNAcentral is "lncRNA (ENSZCAG00015024077.1)". Lineage: Eukaryota; Metazoa; Chordata; Mammalia; Carnivora; Otariidae. The record is from RNAcentral.